CCUACGGGUGGCUGCAGUGGGGAAUAUUGGACAAUGGGGGGAACCCUGAUCCAGCCAUGCCGCGUGUGUGAAGAAGGCCCUCGGGUUGUAAAGCACUUUCAGUGAGGAAGAACGCCUGGUGGUUAAUACCCAUCAGGAAAGACAUCACUCACAGAAGAAGCACCGGCUAACCCCGUGCCAGCAGCCGCGGUAAUACGGAGGGUGCGAGCGUUAAUCGGAAUUACUGGGCGUAAAGCGCGCGUAGGUGGCUUGAUAAGCCGGUUGUGAAAGCCCCGGGCUCAACCUGGGAACGGCAUCCGGAACUGUCAAGGUAGAGUGCAGGAGAGGAAGGUAGAAUUCCCGGUGUAGCGGUGAAAUGCGUAGAGAUCGGGAGGAAUACCAGUGGCGAAGGCGGCCUUCUGGACUGACACUGACACUGAGGUGCGAAGGCGUGGGUAGCAAACAGGAUUAGAUACCCUAGUAGUC
RNAcentral lists this ribosomal RNA (465 nucleotides) under Vreelandella stevensii. RNAcentral's name for it is "partial 16S ribosomal RNA". It matches the Rfam family "Bacterial small subunit ribosomal RNA", at positions 338 to 795 of the family's 1533-position model. Lineage: Bacteria; Pseudomonadati; Pseudomonadota; Gammaproteobacteria; Oceanospirillales; Halomonadaceae. The record is from RNAcentral.